This 1407-nucleotide ribosomal RNA is filed under the name uncultured bacterium. RNAcentral describes it as "16S ribosomal RNA". It matches the Rfam family "Bacterial small subunit ribosomal RNA". The record is from RNAcentral.
AGAGUCUGAUCCUGGCUCAGGAUGAACGCUAGCGACAGGCUUAACACAUGCAAGUCGAGGGGCAGCGGGGGUGAUGGCUUGCCAUCACCUGCCGGCGACCGGCGCACGGGUGAGUAACACGUAUGCAACCUGCCCGCCACAGGGGGAUAAGCGGAAGAAAUUCCGUCUAAUACCGCGUGACGCGGCGUCGGGGCAUCCCGGUGCCGCCAAAGGGAUUACCGGUGGCGGAUGGGCAUGCGGCGCAUUAGCUAGUCGGCGGGGUAACGGCCCACCGAGGCGACGAUGCGUAGGGGUUCUGAGAGGAAGGUCCCCCACACUGGUACUGAGACACGGACCAGACUCCUACGGGAGGCAGCAGUGAGGAAUAUUGGUCAAUGGGCGGGAGCCUGAACCAGCCAAGUCGCGUGAGGGAUGACGGUCCUACGGAUUGUAAACCUCUUUUGCCGGGGAGCAAGCGUGCGUUCGUGAACGCGCGUCGAGAGUACCCGGAGAAAAAGCAUCGGCUAACUCCGUGCCAGCAGCCGCGGUAAUACGGAGGAUGCGAGCGUUAUCCGGAUUUAUUGGGUUUAAAGGGUGCGUAGGCGGGAUGCCAAGUCAGCGGUAAAAAAGGGUGGUCCACGCCGUCGAGCCCGUUGAAACUGGGGUUUUUGAGUGGGCGAGGAAGUAUGCGGAAUGCGUGGGGUUAGCGGUGAAAUGCAUAGAUAUCACGCAGAAACUCCGAUUGCGAAGGCAGCAUACCGGCGCCCUACUGACGCUGAGGCACGAAAGCGUGGGUAUCGAAACAGGAUUAGAUACCCUGGUAGUCCACGCAGUAAACGAUGAAUGCUAACUGUCCGGUGCGAGUGAGCACUGGGCGGUACAGCGAAAGCGUUAAGCAUUCCACCUGGGGAGUACGCCGGCAACGGUGAAACUCAAAGGAAUUGACGGGGGCCCGCACAAGCGGAGGAACAUGUGGUUUAAUUCGAUGAUACGCGAGGAACCUUACCCGGGCUCAAACGCAGGAUGACGGGUCCCGAAAGGGGCCUUUCUUCGGACAUUCUGCGAGGUGCUGCAUGGUUGUCGUCAGCUCGUGCCGUGAGGUGUCGGCUUAAGUGCCAUAACGAGCGCAACCCCUGUCCACAGUUGCCAGCAGGUAAAGCUGGGGACUCUGUGGAGACUGCCGGCGCAAGCUGCGAGGAAGGCGGGGAUGACGUCAAAUCAGCACGGCCCUUACGUCCGGGGCGACACACGUGUUACAAUGGCAGGUACAGCGGGAUGCCACGGGGCGACCCGGCGCUGAACCCGAAAACCUGUCUCAGUUCGGAUUGGAGUCUGCAACCCGACUCCAUGAAGCUGGAUUCGCUAGUAAUCGCGCAUCAGCCACGGCGCGGUGAAUACGUUAAAGGGCCUUGCACACACCGCCCGUCA